Molecule: ribosomal RNA, 274 nt
Filed under: uncultured bacterium
Lineage: Bacteria
Description: partial 16S ribosomal RNA
Rfam family: Bacterial small subunit ribosomal RNA
Source: RNAcentral
AUACGAAAGGUGCAAGCGUUGUUCGGAUUUACUGGGCGUAAAGAGAGUGUAGGUUGUUUAUUAAGUCGGAUGUGAAAUCCCGGGGCUCAACCUCGGAACUGCAUUCGAUACUGAUAGGCUAGAGUUUGGGAGGGGUAAGCGGAAUUCCGUGUGUAGCAGUGAAAUGCGUAGAUAUACGGAGGAACACCUGAGGCGAAGGCGGCUUACUGGACCAAUACUGACACUGAGACUCGAAAGCGUGGGUAGCAAACAGGAUUAGAUACCCUUGUAGUCC